UACGGAGGGUGCAAGCGUUGUCCGGAUUUAUUGGGUUUAAAGGGUACGUAGGCGGUAGUUUAAGUCAGUGGUGAAAGUUUACGGCUCAACCGUGAAAGUGCCAUUGAUACUGAAUUACUUGAGUUCUGUAGAGGUGGGCGGAAUUUGUGAUGUAGCGGUGAAAUGCAUAGAUAUCACAAGGAACACCAACAGCGAAGGCAGCUCACUGGACAGAAACUGACGCUGAGGUACGAAAGCGUGGGUAGCGAAC
RNAcentral lists this ribosomal RNA (250 nucleotides) under uncultured bacterium. RNAcentral describes it as "partial 16S ribosomal RNA". It matches the Rfam family "Bacterial small subunit ribosomal RNA", at positions 524 to 773 of the family's 1533-position model. The record is from RNAcentral.